Molecule: ribosomal RNA, 756 nt
Filed under: uncultured bacterium
Lineage: Bacteria
Description: bacterial SSU rRNA
Rfam family: Bacterial small subunit ribosomal RNA
Source: RNAcentral
AGAGUUUGAUCCUGGCUCAGAAUCAACGCUGGCGGCGCGCUUAACACAUGCAAGUCGCACGAGAAAGUGGAGCAAUCCAUGAGUACAGUGGCGUACGGGUGAGUAACACGUGGAUCAUCUGCCUCUUGGUGGGGAAUAACCCUGGGAAACCGGGGCUAAUACCGCAUAAGCCUGCAAAGGGAAAGCAGCAAUGCGCCGAGAGAGGAGUCCGCGGCCGAUUAGCUUGUUGGUAGGGUAAUGGCCUACCAAGGCAAUGAUCGGUAGCCGGCCUGAGAGGGCACACGGCCACACUGGCACUGAAACACGGGCCAGACUCCUACGGGAGGCAGCAGUGGGGAAUCUUGCGCAAUGGGGGAAACCCUGAUGCAGCGACGCCGCGUGAGCGAUGAAGCCCUUCGGGGUGUAAAGCUCUUUCGGCAGGAACGAUAAUGACGGUACCUGCAGAAGAAGCUGCGGCUAACUACGUGCCAGCAGCCGCGGUAAUACGUAGGCAGCAAGCGUUGUUCGGAAUUACUGGGCGUAAAGAGUGUGUAGGCGGUUCUCUAAGUUCCGUGUGAAAUCUCCCGGCUUAACUGGGAGGGUGCGCGGAAAACUGGAGGGCUGGAGUAUGGGAGAGGAAAGCGGAAUUCCUGGUGUAGCGGUGAAAUGCGUAGAUAUCAGGAGGAACACCUGCGGUGUAGACAGCUUUCUGGACCAUCACUGACGCUGAGACACGAAAGCGUGGGUAGCAAACAGGAUUAGAUACCCCUGUAGUCC